RNAcentral lists this ribosomal RNA (355 nucleotides) under uncultured bacterium. RNAcentral describes it as "bacterial SSU rRNA". It matches the Rfam family "Bacterial small subunit ribosomal RNA", at positions 8 to 350 of the family's 1533-position model. The record is from RNAcentral.
AGAGUUUGAUCCUGGCUCAGGAUGAACGCUAGCUACAGGCUUAACACAUGCAAGUCGAGGGGAAACGACAUCGAAAGCUUGCUUUUGAUGGGCGUCGACCGGCGCACGGGUGAGUAACGCGUAUCCAACCUGCCCAUCACUUGGGGAUAACCUUGCGAAAGUAAGACUAAUACCCAAUGACGUCUCUAGAAGACAUCUGAAAGAGAUUAAAGAUUUAUCGGUGAUGGAUGGGGAUGCGUCUGAUUAGCUUGUUGGCGGGGGUAACGGCCCACCAAGGCGACGAUCAGGUAGGGGUUCUGAGAGGAAGGUCCCCCANAUUGGAACUGAGACACGGUCCAAACUCCUACGGGAGGCA